AUAUAUUUCGGUCCACAAUCUACCACUUGCAAACUGCCACCUCUGAUGAGUAAAAGUUGUCACCACUAAUGAACAUAAAUAACCAUGUCAGAAUAUAUAUAUUUUUGGUUAAACAAAUACCGCAAGCAAAUUACCACCUCUGAUGAGUAAAAUUUGUCACUCUAAUGAAUAAAAUUUGCCACCCCUAAUAAACAUAAAUAACCAUGUCAAAAAAAAAUAUUUCGGUAAAAAAUCUAACAUCUACAAAUUACCACCCGUAAUGAACAAAAAUUGCAACCACUAAUGAGCACAAAUAACCAUGUUAAAAUGAAUAUAUUUCGGUCAAAAAUAUACCCCACAAAUUGCGACCGCUAAUUAACACAAGUUGUCAUCCUAAUGAACACAAAUAACCAUGUUCCUCCUGUUUCGGUCAAAAUCUAACUUCCACAAAUGCAUCAUGCAUCUUAUACAACCGCAACACUUCAAAUUGAGCUACCACCUUUAUUCAAGCAACCCCACAACAACCCUAUCUUGUUGUCGCCUCUAAUAAACACAAAUUGCCAUUUCUAAUGAACACAAACAACAAUAUUCAUUCAUUUCGGUCAAAAUCUACCACCCACUACCGCAUCUCGUGUCUCCUCAACUCCAAAAUCGAGCUACCACCUUCAUUCAAGCAACCCCACAACAACCCUAUCUCGUUGUCGCCCCUAAUAAACACAAAUUUCCAUCCCUAAGGAACACAAAAAACAAUGUUCAUCAUUUCGGUGAAAAUCUACCAACCACUACCGCAUCCUGCGUCGCCUCAACUCCAAAAUCGAGUUAUCACCUUCAUACAAAACGACCCUACACAAAUUCUAUCUCCAUGUCAUGCCUAAUGAAUGCGAAUUGCCAACCCUAAUGAACGCAUAUUGCCACUCGUAAUGAGCACACAUUGCCUCUCGUAAUGAGCACAGAUUGCCAAUCGUAGUGAACACAUAUAACCAUGUUAUCAAUGUCUACCAUCCACCGCCGCAUCCUGCAUUUCCUCCACUCCAAAUCGAGGUAUAAACUCCAAGCACACAAAUCCUAUCUCCCUAUCGCUCCUAAUGCACACAAAUUGCCACCCCUUAAAGCACCCAAAUUGAUAGCCCUAAUGCACACAAAUGUCACACCCUAACGAAUACAAAAAGGAAAAAUAAUCAUGUCCAUACAUUUAGAUCAAAAUCCCACCACCACAUCUUGCAUCUACUUCACUCCAAAUUAAGCUAAAGAAUUAAAAUGCACACAAAUUGACCUCCAAUUUAAAUGAAUCCACACAAACCCUAUCUCCAUGUCGCCCCUAAGGACAAAAAUUGCCAUCCCCGAUGAAUACAAAUUGCCAUCCCCGAUGGACAUGAAUUGCCACCCCCAAAGCAAACAAAUUGCCAUGUUCAUACAAUUCGGUCAAAACUAACACACCCCACCGCAUCUCGCAUCUCCUCC
This 1440-nucleotide long non-coding RNA is filed under the name Brachypodium distachyon (stiff brome). Its description in RNAcentral is "long non-coding RNA (BDIS_LNC001954)". The record is from RNAcentral. Lineage: Eukaryota; Viridiplantae; Streptophyta; Magnoliopsida; Poales; Poaceae.